AUGCCCAGAUGGUCUCGAACUCCUGUGCGCAAGCGAUCCUCCCGCCUCAGCCUCCCAAAGUGCUGGGAUUACAGACUUACUCCUGCUUCCACCAGGAGUACAUGGAAAUUGAAAAGAGAGAAUUUAUGUUUUUUUGCCUUAAAUGAGAAAAACAGAAGGUAGAUCUCCCAAGGCAGAACAUCUGUAAUGAUAGAGCAGUAAGGAAUAUGAGGAGGGAAACAUGAGCAUGUUUGCAUAAACAUUUAGAUUUUUCUGGGCUUGCCCAAUCCCAGUCUUUUGGAGUCUGUCUUUUAUGAGGGCAACCGUGGUUUAAGAGUGAGCAAAUGUUAGUUCAUGUAAUUAAAACCCGUUGAAUUGAACAGGAAACAUUCACGGGAAAUCUGCAGGUGUCUGCAAGCAAGAGUGACGCUAGAAGGAUCUUAGUAUGCCAGCUCCCUCUUCCUCAAGGGUAGUGUCCCUGGAAUGAAGCCACCAGCAACAGGAGAGGAAACAGAUGGGGUUGUAGAAAGUAGGAGCAGCAAAAGCUUCUGAACUUAGUAAUAAGCUGCUUGCCCCGGGGUGAGUAUAAAAGGCAUCUGGGGUAUUUGCUUUUUUGUUUAUUGGAGGAAGAAAGGUGUCUCGCAACAUUUCUCUCUCUCCCCUUCCUCUCUCUCUCAAAUUUAUUCAGGAUAUGAAAUUUCUAAGGCUACUGCCAUCUUAGGGUUUGAAUCUCUUUUCAGCUUCAUUCACACAUAUUAAAGAGAGACAGUUCCAGUAUGACUUAAGAAAGAAAAGCCAGGCUGAUUUCCAAGAUGCAGUGUUGUGCCACGGAUGAGUUUUCUUCCUGGAGUGAGCUAUUUGAGUUUCAUUUUUCUUACCACCUUUUAGCCUCUUCAUUCCAAGGCCUGGACACUUCAGGCAGAGAAGCCCUCAUCCUGGGUGUCGGGGUGGGAGGUGUUCUCAUCAUGAAUGGGAGGCGUACCCAGAUCCAGCUCUGCCUUUUUUUAACCAAACCAGAGUGUAAACAAAUGGCUGUGUGACUCACCAUAAUCGACAUAGCAAGAUAUGAUACAUGCCAGGAGAGAAAAAGAAAGUGCUGAUGGAAAAAUAAUCUCAUUAGGGAGAUUUGUUUGUGGUGAUUUAUUUUAUUUUAUGUUAUUUUAUUUUUUUGAGAUGGAGUAUCCCUCUGUCAUCCAGGCUGGAGUGCAGUGGCGCGAUUUCCACCUCCAAGAUUCAAGUGAUUCUCCAGCCUCUGCCUCCCAAGUAGCUGGGAUUCUUGGAGCCCACCAACACACCUGGCCAAGUUUUGUAUUUUCAGUAGAGAUGAGGGUCUCAUGAUGUUGGCCAGGCUGGUCUCAAACUCCUGACCUCAAGUGAUCUGCCUGCCUUGACCUCCCUAAGUGCUGGGAUUACAGGAGUGAGCCACCACGCCUGGUCUGUGGUGACAUUUGAAAUGAAUCUGAAAAAUGAGUAGAACAUUAACAGAUGGAAAAGACCGUCACUGUAUUAUUACAGUAUUAAUGCUCAGUAAUAUCUGUAUCUAACAAUACCAUGGAGCUUUUGUGGGGCCUGGUCUUAGAAUAUGCUUUUGCUGGCAGGUGCACCUCGAUUAUCCUUUGGAGACCACCUUACUCUUUGUUUUUGUUUUUGUUUUUGAGAUGAAGCGCCUCGGCUUCCCGAGUAGCUGGGAUUACAGGCGCCCGCCACCAUGCCCAGCUAAUAUUUUGUAUUUUUAGUAGAGAUGGGGUUUCACUACGUUGGCCAGGCUGGAACCUUACUCCUACUCUCCACCUAGGAAGUGUGAGUGAGGCUGGCUCUGCCCCAGGCUCCUGGUGAGGCAUGCAACCCAGACUGGCCAAUAAAAGAACCACAUGUCCUUAGCAUAGUGAAUUGGCUCAGGGUGGGAGAGUGACCCAAGUUGGGCUAGUCCUGGAGCUUUUGCUGGAACAAUUAGGGAAAAGGAUUCCUCUUUUUUUUUUUUAUUUUGAGACAGUGCCUUGUUUUGUCGUCCAGGCUGGAGUGCAGUGGCACAAUCU
This 2015-nucleotide long non-coding RNA is filed under the name Homo sapiens (human). Its description in RNAcentral is "non-protein coding lnc-ARF6-9:1". Lineage: Eukaryota; Metazoa; Chordata; Mammalia; Primates; Hominidae. The record is from RNAcentral.